This 25-nucleotide unclassified non-coding RNA is filed under the name Dictyostelium discoideum. The record is from RNAcentral. Lineage: Eukaryota; Evosea; Eumycetozoa; Dictyosteliales; Dictyosteliaceae.
CUGAGUUCGAUUCUCGGAUCUCCCC